CGCGUAGGCGGUCAUUUAAGUCAGCUGUGAAAUGGUUUGGCUUAACCGGAUCAUGCGGUUGAAACUGGAUGACUGGAGUGCUGGAGAGGCAAGUGGAAUCCCCAGUGUAGCGGUGAAAUGCGUAGAUAUUGGGAAGAACACCGGUGGCGAAGGCGACUUGCUGGCCAGUAACUGACGCUGAGGCGCGAAAGCCAGGGGAGCAAACG
This 206-nucleotide ribosomal RNA is filed under the name uncultured Synergistaceae bacterium. RNAcentral describes it as "partial 16S ribosomal RNA". It matches the Rfam family "Bacterial small subunit ribosomal RNA", at positions 568 to 774 of the family's 1533-position model. The record is from RNAcentral. Lineage: Bacteria; Thermotogati; Synergistota; Synergistia; Synergistales; Synergistaceae.